GAUGAACGCUGGCGGCGUGCCUAACACAUGCAAGUCGAGCGAAGCGCUUAAAUUAGAUUUCUUCGGAAUGACGAUUUUUGUGACUGAGCGGCGGACGGGUGAGUAACGCGUGGGUAACCUGCCUCAUACAGGGGGAUAACAGUUAGAAAUGACUGCUAAUACCGCAUAAGACCCCAGCUUCGCAUGAAGCGGUGGUAAAAACUCCGGUGGUAUGAGAUGGACCCGCGUCUGAUUAGCUAGUUGGUAAGGUAACGGCUUACCAAGGCGACGAUCAGUAGCCGACCUGAGAGGGUGACCGGCCACAUUGGGACUGAGACACGGCCCAGACUCCUACGGGAGGCAGCAGUGGGGAAUAUUGCACAAUGGGGGAAACCCUGAUGCAGCGACGCCGCGUGAAGGAUGAAGUAUUUCGGUAUGUAAACUUCUAUCAGCAGGGAAGAAAGUGACGGUACCUGACGAAGAAGCCCCGGCUAACUACGUG
RNAcentral lists this ribosomal RNA (481 nucleotides) under uncultured bacterium. Its description in RNAcentral is "partial 16S ribosomal RNA". It matches the Rfam family "Bacterial small subunit ribosomal RNA", at positions 28 to 507 of the family's 1533-position model. The record is from RNAcentral.